Long non-coding RNA from Cicer arietinum (chickpea), 1095 nucleotides. RefSeq lists it as uncharacterized. NCBI's taxonomy places the organism in Eukaryota, Viridiplantae, Streptophyta, Magnoliopsida, Fabales, Fabaceae. The record is from RefSeq and is a predicted model, not a curated record.
AUCCUAAAUUAUGCCAUUUUCUGUUUUCUCUUACUUUCCUACUUGGAAGAUGAAUUUUAUAAUUGUUGGCAACAAACUCAUCAUAUUUUUUGUUUGGAAUUUCUGGUAAAUAUGUAGCUUUCAAAACAUGUGAGGUAGGCUUUAUAAUUAAUAAGUCUUGGAUUGUACCCUUUCAGGUAAUGUUUUUACACGACUGAUGUUAAGCUUCGUUCAUGUCAAUGACUCAUUACUAUUUGCUUUGGAGAAUAUAGUAUGCAUGUAUUGAUUGUUAAAUUAAGAUUAUUGCAAGUUUGUUCAUAUUCAUAUAGAAUUAAGAAGAGAUCCAUGAAAAGAAGAUGAAGCUAACUUAAUUAGUUUAUUCAGAUAGCAUAAUGCUUUUAAUAUCAAACUUUGGAGCUUCGAAUUGAUUGAUUGUUAAAUUAAGAUUAUUGUAAGUUUGUUCAUAUUCAUAUAGAUGCAGAAACUUUGGAGCUUCGAAUUGAUAGAUGCUUUUAAUCCCUUUUUCUCAUUGUUGAUGUAAGAGCCCCUGAAUCUUAAGAAAUGAGAGGCAUAAAGAGGGAAAGGGAAAUAAUUAGUUAGGGGAAAUAAUUUCAAGUUUCAAUGUUUUUCAUCUCUAUAAGAACAAAGUAAUAAAACUGUUCCAAUUGCAUUCAUUAAAACAUGUUAUUUUAUUUAUUUAUAUGCCAAUUCAUCUCUAUGUGAUUUUAUUUGCUACACUUUAAUAAAUAUUUUAUUUUUGUAGAGCUUUGGGUGAAUAUAAUAAGUCGCGAAGAUUAAGAAAGAACAAGCCCACAUGGAGCAUUCCCAUUUGUCAAAGAUAACCUAAAGGUUAUGAGUGUGGUUACUACAUUAUGAUACAUAUGUUGAACAUUGUAUCUAGUGGUCUUGUUGAUUCAUGGAUGCAGAUAUUUGGAGAAUCAAAACCAUUCAAAGAUGAAGAAAUGAUGAAUGUCCGACAACGUUGUGCAAACUUGAUUCUUGAACUAAUAGAAAAAGCUUGAAGCACUUGUAUCAUUUGAGUAUCUUUAGACUGUUAAUAGAAGAUAAUGUUUUUUUUAACUAGUGAAUAUUAUGUAGCUCUAAAUUUGAUAAUUU